Long non-coding RNA from Mustela erminea (ermine), 476 nucleotides. RefSeq lists it as uncharacterized. The transcript has 3 exons. Lineage: Eukaryota; Metazoa; Chordata; Mammalia; Carnivora; Mustelidae. The record is from RefSeq and is a predicted model, not a curated record.
UGGUUCCUUGCGGCGCAUUCGGAGAUGCUGAGGCGCUGCCCGGGAGGAGAAUGAUCAGAUCCGCUGACAUCCUUGGCUGGGGAGGGACGGGGAGAACGUUGGAGACACACGGAUUCAUGAGAUUUUUCAUGGUUCUUAUGAUCUCGUUAGAAGCACCAACUCUGGAAAGAAGGAGCUGUUAAAUCCAGAAAAUUUUCCUGAGAAUGUAUUUAUCAAGUCAGAGAUGAAGAGAAAAAUGAAAGAACUGGGCCACAAGGAAGAAAAGAAGGGAAGGAGCACACAGGCUCAGUCCUACAGUGAUUUGGAUGUUUGCUGAGGCAGAGAGAGGAUUCAUGAGUUGAGCUGAGCCGAACUGCUUCUGUUUCUGCAGCUGGCUGGGAGGGCUGUGGGGGUCUCUUUUCUCCAUGGGAGUGAGCAGUGCAGCAGAAGGCUUUCUAUAGAGGCUCUUUGAGUCAAAAAGCAGAGGUUCGUCUGCC